Molecule: ribosomal RNA, 546 nt
Filed under: Serratia sp. Z3S-44
Lineage: Bacteria; Pseudomonadati; Pseudomonadota; Gammaproteobacteria; Enterobacterales; Yersiniaceae
Description: bacterial SSU rRNA
Rfam family: Bacterial small subunit ribosomal RNA
Source: RNAcentral
GGGAAGUAGCUUGCUACUUUGCCGGCGAGCGGCGGACGGGUGAGUAAUGUCUGGGAAACUGCCUGAUGGAGGGGGAUAACUACUGGAAACGGUAGCUAAUACCGCAUGACCUCGCAAGAGCAAAGUGGGGGACCUUCGGGCCUCACGCCAUCGGAUGUGCCCAGAUGGGAUUAGCUAGUAGGUGGGGUAAUGGCUCACCUAGGCGACGAUCCCUAGCUGGUCUGAGAGGAUGACCAGCCACACUGGAACUGAGACACGGUCCAGACUCCUACGGGAGGCAGCAGUGGGGAAUAUUGCACAAUGGGCGCAAGCCUGAUGCAGCCAUGCCGCGUGUGUGAAGAAGGCCUUAGGGUUGUAAAGCACUUUCAGCGAGGAGGAAGGGUUCAGUGUUAAUAGCACUGUNCAUUGACGUUACUCGCAGAAGAAGCACCGGCUAACUCCGUGCCAGCAGCCGCGGUAAUACGGAGGGUGCAAGCGUUAAUCGGAAUUACUGGGCGUAAAGCGCACGCAGGCGGUUUGUUAAGUCAGAUGUGAAAUCCCCGAGCU